This 460-nucleotide ribosomal RNA is filed under the name uncultured bacterium. RNAcentral's name for it is "partial 16S ribosomal RNA". It matches the Rfam family "Bacterial small subunit ribosomal RNA", at positions 338 to 795 of the family's 1533-position model. The record is from RNAcentral.
CCUACGGGGGGCAGCAGUGAGGAAUAUUGGUCAAUGGGCUUACGCCUGAACCAGCCAAGUCGCGUGAGGGAAGACUGCCCUAUGGGUUGUAAACCUCUUUUGUCAGGGAGCAACGCCGGCUACGUGUAGCCGGACUGAGAGUACCUGAAGAAAAAGCAUCGGCUAACUCUGUGCCAGCAGCCGCGGUAAUACGGAGGAUGCGAGCGUUAUCCGGAUUGAUUGGGUUUAAAGGGUGCGUAGGCGGAAUGCCAAGUCAGCGGUAAAAUCGCGGGGCUCAACCUCGCUCCGCCGUUGAAACUGGCGUUCUUGAGUGGGCGAGAAGUAUGCGGAAUGCGUGGUGUAGCGGUGAAAUGCAUAGAUAUCACGCAGAACUCCGAUUGCGAAGGCAGCAUACCGGCGCCCAACUGACGCUGAAGCACGAAAGCGUGGGUAUCGAACAGGAUUAGAUACCCCUGUAGUC